This 461-nucleotide ribosomal RNA is filed under the name uncultured bacterium. RNAcentral describes it as "bacterial SSU rRNA". It matches the Rfam family "Bacterial small subunit ribosomal RNA", at positions 29 to 529 of the family's 1533-position model. The record is from RNAcentral.
AACGAACGCUGGCGGCAUGCCUAACACAUGCAAGUCGAACGAUGCCUUCGGGCAUAGUGGCGCACGGGUGCGUAACGCGUGGGAAUCUGCCCUUGGGUUCGGAAUAACUCAGAGAAAUUUGAGCUAAUACCGGAUGAUGACGUAAGUCCAAAGAUUUAUCGCCCAAGGAUGAGCCCGCGUAAGAUUAGCUAGUUGGUGGGGUAAAGGCCUACCAAGGCGACGAUCUUUAGCUGGUCUGAGAGGAUGAUCAGCCACACUGGGACUGAGACACGGCCCAGACUCCUACGGGAGGCAGCAGUGGGGAAUAUUGGACAAUGGGCGAAAGCCUGAUCCAGCAAUGCCGCGUGAGUGAUGAAGGCCUUAGGGUUGUAAAGCUCUUUUACCAGGGAUGAUAAUGACAGUACCUGGAGAAUAAGACUCCGGCUAACUCCGUGCCAGCAGCCGCGGUAAGCAUACUCGUA